Long non-coding RNA from Motacilla alba alba, 1043 nucleotides. RefSeq lists it as uncharacterized. The record is from RefSeq and is a predicted model, not a curated record. The transcript is spliced from 3 exons. Lineage: Eukaryota; Metazoa; Chordata; Aves; Passeriformes; Motacillidae.
UUUAAGGACGACAACAACGCUAAUCGGUGACCAGGUUUAUCAAUUAUCAAUCACAAACCUCUCCAAAUUCACUGACAGUUUUUGGGUUCAUCAGGGGAUUCGCUGUUAAUAAAGGAGCAACCAACAUUUCUUAAUAUUUCACUUGUUCCCACUAAAUCAGCGGCUUUUCCCCAAAUCCUCCCUUUCAGGCAGCACACAAAUAACCAGAAAUGUUUUAAAAAGCAGAUAAAAAGGUAAAUGUUUAUGCUGGGGGUGAGACGGCUCUGGGGAGACCUUAGAGCCCUUCCAGGGGUUUGGGAAAAGGAGGGAGAAGGAUUUUUAUCGGGACAGAGUGUGACAGGACAGUGGGAAUGGGUUUGAAGUGAGGUGGGGCAGGGUUGGAUUGGAUGUUCUGAAAAACAGGGAAUUCUGUGCCUGGGGCUCCCCAGGACAGGGCUGGCUUUCCCAGCUCCCAGGGAACAUUCCUGGCUCCCAGGGAACAUUCCUGGCUGACAUUCCUUGCCGUCCAGCAGAAUCCCACCAUCCCUUUCCACUGCUGCUCUCCUUCCUCGUGUGUCCCCCAUCCUUGUUCCAGGUGCAGAAUCCAUCCAGGUGUUUCUUCAAGUGCUCCCAGACCUCUCAUUUCUCCGGGACUCCCCUUCCAGGGAUUCAACAAUCUCCCAUCACCACUUAUCCCCCCAAAAGGGGCUGGAUUUCUCUCUCAGUCCCAGCGUGGCAUUUAGACUGAGGUGAAAAGAUGCUGCUGUUCCCGUGUUCACAACUGGAAAAUCUGGGUGAUGGGAGUGAUUUACGAGCAGCAGAAACCUGGAAUAUUAUCAUGGAAAAGUCUGUCAGUCCCAACAUCAGGCAUCGCCUCCAGGAUCUCCAUUCCCACAAGGAACUGUGCACAGAGGGCACGAAAGAUCCAGGAGAUUGAAUCUGGCACUUCAUCAUCUCUCUUGUAAUCUCCCUCCUCAAAAAUGUGUUAAUUUGGAAAAACAGAAAGGAGAAUAAAAGGAGGAUUUAUGAACACACACAGACUAAUAAAUAAGCGUAUAACACUG